RNAcentral lists this ribosomal RNA (367 nucleotides) under uncultured bacterium. Its description in RNAcentral is "bacterial SSU rRNA". It matches the Rfam family "Bacterial small subunit ribosomal RNA", at positions 84 to 452 of the family's 1533-position model. The record is from RNAcentral.
GGGGUACUCGAGUGGCGAACGGGUGAGUAACACGUGGGUGAUCUGCCCUGCACUUUGGGAUAAGCCUGGGAAACUGGGUCUAAUACCGGAUAGGACCACGGAUCGCAUGGUCUGUGGUGGAAAGCUUUUGCGGUGUGGGAUGGGCCCGCGGCCUAUCAGCUUGUUGGUGGGGUGAUGGCCUACCAAGGCGACGACGGGUAGCCGGCCUGAGAGGGUGUCCGGCCACACUGGGACUGAGAUACGGCCCAGACUCCUACGGGAGGCAGCAGUGGGGAAUAUUGCACAAUGGGCGCAAGCCUGAUGCAGCGACGCCGCGUGGGGGAUGACGGCCUUCGGGUUGUAAACCUCUUUCACCAUCGGCGAAGCC